This 3766-nucleotide long non-coding RNA is filed under the name Homo sapiens (human). RNAcentral describes it as "HSALNT0202495". Lineage: Eukaryota; Metazoa; Chordata; Mammalia; Primates; Hominidae. The record is from RNAcentral.
UUUUGAUCAACUUGGUUAGGCUAUAGUACCUACUUUAUGGUCAAACAACCACCUAGAUGUUCUGUGAAGAUCUUUUUUAGAUGUGCUUAACAUUUAUACAUCCAUCUGUCUAUUUUAAUGGGUUUAAAUGUAUGGGGUAUAAGUGUAAUUUUGUUACAUGCAUAGAUUCUGCAAUGGCAAAAUCAGAACUUUUAGAGUAUACAUCACCCAAAAAACAUACACACAUUAAACCUUUCAUGCGCGUCCGUGUGAAGAGACCACCAAACAGGCUUUGUGUGAGCAACAUGGCUGUUUAUUUCACCUGGGCGCAGGCGGGCUGAGUCCAAAAAGAGAGUCAGUGAAGGGAGAUAAGGAUGGGGCCGUUUUAUAGGAUUUGGGUAGGUAAAGGAAAAUUACAGUCAAAGGGGGUUUGUUCUCUGGCGGGCAGGAGUGGGGGGUUGCAAGGUGCUCAGUGGGGGUGCUUUUUGAGCCAGGAUGAGCCAGGAAAAGGACUUUCACAAGGUAAUAUCAUCACUUAAGGCAAGGACCAGCCAUUUACACUUCUUUUGUGGUGGAAUGUCAUCAGUUAAGGUGGGGCAGGGCAUUUUCACUUCUUUUGUGAUUCUUCAGUUACUUCAGGCCAUCUGGGCAUAUACGUGCAAGUCACAGGGGAUGCGAUGGCUUGGCUUGGGCUCAGAGGCCUGACAUUCCUGCCUUCUUAUAUUAAUAAGAAAAAUAAAACAAAAUAGUGUUGAAGUGUUGGGACAGCGAAAAUUUUUGGGGGGUGGUAUCUAGAGAGAAUGGGCGAUGUUUCUCAGGGCUGCUUCAAGUGGGAUUAGGGUCGGCGUGGGAACCUAGAGUGGGAGAGAUUAAGCUGAAGGGAGGUCUUGUGGUAAGGGGUGAUAUUGUGGGGAUGUUAGAAGAAACAUUUGUCAUAUAGAAUGAUUGGUGAUGGCCUAGAUACGGUUUUGGAUGAAUUGAGAAACUAAAUGGAAUAACAGAAGGAGAAAAACAGGUAUAAAAGGUCUAAGAAUUGGGACGACUCAGGAUAUCUGAUUAGAGAGUGCCUAAGGAGAUUCAGCAUAGUCCUGCCAGCAAAGAUUAUUUAUUUACUUCAAGAGUUAAUAGUGACAGUUUGGGGAUAGCACCAGGAGAUAUCAGCUGUGAUGGCUUGGAAAAACAGUGUAAACCGGCAGUGUAAACAAGAGCAAGGCAUGUAUGAGUAGUUGAGAACGGUGAAUAGGAGGAUGACUAGACAGAAAAUAGUAGGGAUGACAAGUUUUUUUUUUUUUUUUUUGGUGGGGCACAGUCUAAGUUGGUCUGGUGUCUGGAAUGAGACUGGGGCCUAAUAAAAAGGAGCAUCUAUACAGGAGCUUAAAUGGGCUGUACCCUGUAGCAUUCCGAGGACAGGCCUGAAUUCUGAGAAGGGAAAGUGGUAAAAGUAUUGUCCAGUCCUUUUUAAGUUGGUGGCUGAGCUUGGUGAGGAGUGUUUUUAAAAGACCUUUAGUCCAUUCUACUUUUCUUGAAGAUGGAGGACCAUAAGGGAUAUAAAGGUUUCACUGAAUACUCAGAGCCUGAAAAACUGCUUGGCUGAUUUGACUAAUAAAGGCUGAUCUGUUAUCAGACUGUAUUGAGGUGGGAAGGCUAAACUGAGGAAUUAUGUCUGACAGAAUGGAAGAAAUGACUGUGGUGGCCUUCUCAAACCCUGUAGGAAAGGCCUCUACCUAUCCAGUGAAAGUAUCUACCUAGACUAAGAGGUAUUUUAGUUAUCGGUCUCAGGGCAUGUUGAGUAAAGCUAAUUUGCCAGUCCUGGGUGGGGCAAAUCCUGGAGCUUGAUGUGUAGGGAAGGGAGGGGGCCUGAAUAAUCCCUGAGGAGUAGUAGAAUAGCAGAUGGAACACUGAGAAGUUAUUUCCUUGAGGAUAGAUUUCAACGAUGGAAAGGAAAUGAGAGGUUCUAAGAGGCGGGCUAGUGGCUUGUACUAUAGCAUAACCUGCCUUUGCUGGUGUGUGGUGAUUAGGCCUGGUGGAACCCCCAUCAAUAAAUAAGCGUGAUCAGGGUGAGCAACAGGAAAGAAGGAAAUUUGGGGAAAUGGGGUGAAUGUCAGGUGGAUCAGAGAGAUACAGUCAUGGGGUUCAGGUGUGGUAUCAGGAAUAAUGUGGGAGGCCGGAUUGAAGUCUGAGCCAGGAACAAUGGUAAUUGUGGGAGACUCAACAAAGAGUGAGUACAGCUGAAGGAGCCGGGAAGCAGAAAGUAUAUGCGUCAGGUAUGAGGAAGAAAAUAGAUUUUGGAAGUUAUGAGAACUGUAGAGAGUGAGUUGAGCAUAGUUUGUGAUUUUGAGGGCCUCUAAAAGUAUUAAUGCAGUGGCAGCCACUGCACGCAGACAUGAGGGCUAGGCUAAAACAGUAAGGUCAAGUUGUUUGGACAGAAAGGCUACAGGGUGUGGUCCUGGCUCUUGUGUAAGAAUUCUGACUGCGCUAACCAUGCCUAGGAAGGAAAGGAGUUGUUGUUUUGUAGAAGGUGCUGGGGUUUGAGAGAUCAGUGGGACACGAUUGGCAGCACGUGUGUGGCAGCACGUGUGUUUUUAUGAGAAUUAUGCUGAGAUAGGUAACAGAUGAGGAAGAAAUUUGGGCUUGAAUGAAGUAAUGGGGGCUGUCUGUGAAGCUUUGCGGCAGUACAGCCUAGGUAAUUUGCUGAGCGUGAUGGGUGUCAGGGUCAGUCCAAGUGAAAGCAAAGAGAGGAUGGGACGAGGGGUGCAGGGGAAUAGUGAAAAAAGCAUCUUUAAGAUCAAGCAGGGAAUAGUGAGUUGUGGAGGAAGGUAUUGAGGACAAAAGAGUGUAUGGGUUGGGCACCACAGGGUGGAUAGGCAAAACAAUUUGGUUGAUAAGGCGCAGAUCCUGAACUAAGUUGUAAGGCUUGUCUGGUUUUAGGACAGGUAAAAUGGGGAAAUUGUAAGGAGAGUUUAUAGGCUUUAAAAGGCCAUGCUGUAGCAGGCGAGUGAUAACAGGCUUUAAUCUUUUUAAAGCGUGCUGUGGGAUGGGAUAUUGGCAUUGAGUGGGGUAAGUGUGAUUAGGUUUUAAUGAGAUGGUAAGAGGUGCAUGAUCGGUAGCCAAGGAGGGAGUAGAGGUAUAUUAUACUUGUGGGUUAAGGUCGGGGGAUACAAGAGGAGGAUGCAAAGGAGGCUUUGGAUUGGGAAGAAGGGCGGCAAUGAGAUAUAGCUGUAGCCCAGGAAUAGUCAGGGCAGCAGAUAAUUUAGUUAAAGUGUCUCGGCCUAAUAAGGGAACUGGGCAGGUGGGGAUAACUAAAAAGGAGUGCUUCAAAGAGUAUUGUCUAAGUUGGCACCAGAGUUGGGGAGUUUUAAGAGGUUUAGAAGCCUGGCCGUCAAUACCCACAACAGUUAUGGAGGCAAGGGAAACAGCCCUUGAAAAGAAGGUAAUGUGGAGUGGGUAGCCUCUGUAUUGAUGAAGAAGGGGACGGGCUUACUUUCCACUGUGAGAGUUACCCGAAGCUCAGCAUCCGUGGUGGUCUAGGGGGCUUCCGAGGCGAUCCGGCAGUGUCAGUCUUCAGCCGCUAAGCCAAGAAGAUCUGCGAAGGAGUCAGUCAGAGAGGCUUGGGCCAGAGUUCCAGGGGCUCUGCGAGUGGCUGCCAGGUCACCAAAAGACAAGGCCCUCCACAGGAUUGAGUGACAACAUCAUAAGCUUCAAAGGAAAUGCAAACAUUUGUUUGAAAAACCGGUAAAAUCCUAAGAAAAAUCCACCUCUGAAGAAUCCACCUCUGAAAUAAACCUGG